RNAcentral lists this ribosomal RNA (274 nucleotides) under uncultured bacterium. Its description in RNAcentral is "partial 16S ribosomal RNA". It matches the Rfam family "Bacterial small subunit ribosomal RNA", at positions 523 to 796 of the family's 1533-position model. The record is from RNAcentral.
AUACGGAGGGUGCAAGCGUUACUCGGAAUCACUGGGCGUAAAGCGCGCGCAGGCGGUCUUUUAAGUUGGAUGUGAAAGCCUACGGCUCAACCGUAGAACUGCAUCCAAAACUAUUAGACUAGAGUGUGGGAGAGGAAGAUGGAAUUAGUUGUGUAGGGGUAAAAUCCGUAGAGAUAAAUAGGAAUACCAACAGCGAAGGCAAUCUUCUGGAACACUACUGACGCUGAGGCGCGAAAGCGUGGGGAGCAAACAGGAUUAGAAACCCUAGUAGUCC